CCCGCCUCUGCAUCAUUUGUUCCAGGCUUUCUGGAAGUAUUUGCAGAACUCCUUCCCAGGACAGAUAUCUUCACUCCUAACAUGUUAUCUUGGAGAGUCCCAUCCCCCAAGAGCUGACAAUCAAGAUGAUUGCAAUUCUGGGAGAGAAUACAGUGCGGGAUGCCAGAAAAAUCCUUUCAAGAAGAGGCACCAUGUGAUUUUUGGAGGUUUCUGGGAAGACACAGUUAGCAGCACCUGCAAAACCCUGGGAGAAUCAGACCCACGGAGUCCUAAUGCCUGAGAGCAAUGAGAAGCUAGCCAAUUAUCCCCAGAAGGCUCUUCCUACUGAGGCAAAUCAACUCUUUUCAAGACUCCAGGCAACUGUUUGGAAAAAUGACCUUCUCCAGGCCUCAGAGCUGAAGUGACCUGCUCCUUCCCCUCCUCUCA
Tachyglossus aculeatus (Australian echidna) is the source of this 426-nucleotide long non-coding RNA. RefSeq lists it as uncharacterized. The transcript is spliced from 3 exons. The record is from RefSeq and is a predicted model, not a curated record. Lineage: Eukaryota; Metazoa; Chordata; Mammalia; Monotremata; Tachyglossidae.